GCUGAGAUUGAGAUGGCACCCCUAGGGAGAAUUGCUGCUAUAGACCCGUUAAGAGCAGGAGUCUCCAAACCCAAGACCCAGCGACUUACUCGGGGCUCUGGUAUGACCCAUGGCAACACCCGUAACUGCAUGGAACACACACUAUUGAGCCAUCUACAGGGGAGAAAGCCACUGCUCCCCAUAGCAAAAAGGGGGGCAAGAACAAAAUACAGUAGAUGUUAUCAAGGUGAAUGCAUGUGGCUCCCAUUUGCUUAUGUGCUGAGAGAUA
RNAcentral lists this long non-coding RNA (268 nucleotides) under Podarcis lilfordi (Lilford's wall lizard). The record is from RNAcentral. Lineage: Eukaryota; Metazoa; Chordata; Lepidosauria; Squamata; Lacertidae.